UGUCUGCUUUCUGGCUUGUCUAGUUCCCCUGUAAAAGGCAAAGGAGGUUUCCAGAUAGUGAAUACCUUUUCAGUUGUUCUGAAACCCAUCACAGCCUCUCAGGCUCACAUCCAGUAACAGCUGAAGGAGGUUGUAAGAAGCUGCACUCCAACUCACAGCUGCAAUUGUUUGAACAGCAGAUUGAUAUGAAGGAAAACCAGCAACUAUGCCAUUGAAUUAGAAAUAUAUUAAUCCAUGCAGCAAAAAUUGGGUGCAAUUUGCCAACUUGUAAGGAGGUAACAUACCUGCUUCUGGCACCUACAUAUAAGCAACUGUUGCGUGCAAAUAGGAUGCUUGGAAACUAAACACCAAAGCACAUCACUGUUUAUAUGCAUUAAGAUGGUUCAUUUAUUUUCAUAUUAUUACUCAAAAGCUUUAAUUACCUUUUACUCUAGGAAAAAAAAAUCACUAGCAUCCUGCAGUUCCUCUUAUAAAUCAUAGCCUGAUGUGGAAAAUAUGAGAGUCACCUUCCCCUUAAAGGGAAGUGUGAAGUGUUAAGCACUGAGAAAACUUGUUUUUCUCUCCCUUCUAACUAUGCUUGAACUUCAAGUUUUGAAGCAGAACAGGAACAUGGAAACGCUGCUUAUAGCCUUCCUUUAAAAACUACCUGAGUAUGCUCUUUAAAAAGUCAGAAAGCCCAAUCCUAGGGCAUCCAGGAGGUCGUGUCCUCACACAGGGGCAUAAACCUCCAGAGAGAGCACACCUCUGCCUGGAGCCUCGCUGUACUGGUUUGCUAUUCGGGACUUUCUGCAAGAAAAUGGUACAUUUGCUAGUUUGGCAGAGGGCAGGUGUCCCCAGCUGGCAGAGACCUCACCUGGCGCUUUGCCUCCCGUGCCAUCAGGUGGCACUCCAGGCUCACGCUGCGCUUUCCUCCCUCCCUCUGCCGCUGUCUCCAGAGGGCACCGCCAAGGAACAAAAGACUCAGGGUCUGGUUUUACUCCAUUUCGAAGAGGAAAUGCAGUUAGAAAAAAAAACCUCCGAUGAAAAAUAGAUAACCAUUUGUGAAGCCGAUUCCCUGCCAGAUACAAGCGAAGUUAAACAAAUGCCAAGCAAAGGCAUCAUUGUGGAGUGUGCCUGCAGUCCAAGACUAUGGAAAGGGAGGAAAAUGAUCUAUUUUCUGUGUGAUUAAAAAACUGCACAAUGAUAAAUGAACAGCAUAUGAAACUUAUGAAAAGUGCAGCCUAGCUGCUUUGCAGCUCAGCAGGUUCUGAGAAUGUUCCUGUCUCUGAGAUCUUAUAAGCCUGUCAGCAUCAAUCUGCAUUGUCUGGUGCUGUAGUAAAGUGAGUAGCGACAAAAAACAGUCCUGAUGGUGCUGCUGGUGGAAACUCUAGUUUUUUCCUGUAUCUUCGUGUCUCAGAAGCAAAAGAAAAAUAAUAAUCACAGUUUAUCAGAGCUUAAAGCUUUUUAUUAACUCUCUGUUUUCUACAAGAAACAGAGAAAAUUUGUGGCGGAGUUUAAUAAAAACUUAAAAUUUCCCUUAAAUCAGCAUUGCUUCUAUCUAACUGCAAGUCUUGCUUGAGAUACCUAUGGACAUUAGUUAGCACAAAGAUUUGGGAAUGCAGAAAACUUGUGGCAAGAUCAUACAUCACAUAAAGGCCAAUAAGAGACACUAUGCAAUACUGAUUUUUCAUCUUUUACAGAUCAAAUAGGUAGAUGACAGCAGGUUGCUAGAGAUGUUUUGCUGUAUUUUUGUAGGUGGCAGGAUUUUUGUGCAAUAAUAGCAAGUUGGGCAACAGAAAGGGCCCUGUAAACAUUGCUGUUAACCACGGGAGACAGCAGUGCCUGACAGCAGGAGCUGUGUCAUGCUAAAUUAGAAAGGGCUUGAACCAAGCCCACAGAGCCCAUAAUAUCCCAGGAAUCAGUGUUUGUGGAUCUCAGCAUGGCCUGUCUUUAUCUGAAAUAAUUUAGUCACUUUAAAGAGCAAGGCAUUUCAACAAAGCAUCUCCUCUGUAGCUCCUCUCCUGUUCCUCCCUCCCUAUUCAUUGCUGGUGACAGCAGAGAUGUUUCCACGACAACAAGCCAUGCUGUUGCCUCAGGUGACAAACUAUAACUUCAAUAAACAAUCACUGAAAACAGCUUCAAACAAUUAAUUAGGUAAUGGAAAUGUUAUUUUAAUAGGGCUUAGAUGCUUUGGAAGUAGUUACAGACCAAGUUCUGAUCAAAAAUUUGUCUAGAAUCAAAGCCAAAGAUGCCAUGUGAAGGUCAGGAUGGAUUCACUGUCUGAAUACUCUAAGAACCAUUUUUUUUAAAAAUCCUUCAAGAUCAAAACAAAUUCAAUCCAGAAGAUGCAAUGCAAAACAAUUCAGGGUGGGUUUUUUUGUUUGUUUGUUUUUGUUUUUAAAUUUUGUUCAAAGCACAUACUGGCAGGAAUCUACCAACUUGCUCACUGAAAGCAGUCCGUGGCUGACACACUCCCCAUUUGUGUGCCCUUGCACCAGUGUGACAGACAGAUGAUGAGCCCAGAAAUUGGUUUUGCAAUAAAUGGAUUUUUCAGUUUUCUCUUUACAGAAGAUGCUUUCCUACAGUUAUAAAUGGAUGAUUCAUAAAUCUUUCCUAAUACUGCUUCUCAUAACAGUUCAAUUGAUCUUUAAUCGUUGUUUAAAAAGUGAAUCUCCAUGGAGUGCUUCAAUCCUAUAGCCUGAAGUUUCUCUAGCCCAGGACAGCUCCUCUGUCUAAGCUUUGAGGUACACAGUCUUUAAGUGCAGAUGUCUACACUGAGUGUAUGCCUGUGCUUUAUAUCACAGUCCUAGUUAGUAGGGACACUAUUUGGGGCUAGUAGUUGCCCUGGCAGAAUUUCUUUUUUUGCUUUGUUUAUGAUAUUAAGUUUCUCCAGAAUAGUGCAUCUAUGAAGCAAGAGCAAGAAAGACAAGGGGUGCCACCUUUCCUGUCUGUCCUAGGGUGACUUUAUGAUGCUCAUAUCCCCAUUUGUCUAUUUAGCCCACAAAUAAAUUUUACACCUAGAAGAUUAGUUACAAGAGCAAAGAGGGGGAAGAAGAAGUUUGUGGGCUGUGCAAGGACCUGCCUUUGCAGUGCCAGAUGUGCUCCUACUGCCCUCAGAGGCUGCUUAUGGACUGUGCUUGUGGGUUAAGUCCUGCCUUUGUGCACAAAAUAUUUUCAGUCUGUGAAUGAGGGACUCUGCACCGCUCCUGCUGCGCGUUCCUCUCAGGGAUUAACAAUGGUCCUUGGAGCUCCCUUUGCAGGGCAAUGGGCUCACCCCUGUGUGUCAUCACACAGCUGGGAUACAGCCAUUGAGAACAACGCAGAAUGGAACAGAAUGUGCACUAAAUACUGGCAAGAAAGGUUUAGAGGCAGAAAUUGGUGAAUUGUCUAAACUAACUUUGGCAGAUGCCCUGUUGUUUUUGUUAUAACUUUGUCAGGUCAAGAAUAAAAUCCAGGUUUGCUGCAGGCAUGAUAAUGGAACCUUGAAACAGCUGUUGUAUGGGGUGUCCACAUAAAGCAGAGAGGCUUGACUCCAGUUGCACAAACCCUCAGAAGACAAGAACUGUGGGAAUUGUGUAUCUGGUAAUUAAGGUACUACCCAGGAAGGGAAAAGAUUGGGAUUCUAAGCUGUACAAUGCAGGGUAUACAAUGUAUAUGCAGGGUAUACAUCCUGCAUCACAGCAACUCUUGUGAUCACAACCCUGUGCCUAUUUCACUCUGAGUUUUCAUUGUGGGACUCCUUUAUUUCUCCUUGGAAAGUGUUGAAGAUCUUGUUUUGGUCCUAUGGGCAUAAGAUCAAUACACAAAACCUCAGGGUUUCUCUGCAAAAAGAUGCAUUUUCUCCACUUCUCUUCCUGCAGGAGAGCAAAGGAUGUGGGUGUAGGCCAUGACAGCACCCUCUUAUUUGUGCAGGGAAGGGAGAAGGUUCAGCCAGGUGCCUUUGGCAGGUGGAUGUGCAUAGAGCAGUUUUGUCCCUCACUGCUGCAUGAGCUUUGUGUCUCGUGCACAGCAGCUGCCUCUUUGUGGUGGAUUUUGUAAUUGAAGGUUUAAACAGUUAAACUGCUUUCUUAAUGCAUUUGUGGUUGCUAAGAGACAACCUCUUCAAUUCUGUAGAUCUUCCACUUGAAAUAUAGCACAUUGGCAAAUGGGGCUUUCCCCUCUGACAGCCCAGGAGAAGGGGAGCUGACAGGGCACUCCCCCUUGGGCUGGUGAGCAACUGCUCCUGCAGCUGCCUGAGGGAGCUGGGCUUGCUCCAGGGCUGGGAAUAACUGAUCAAUAGCUGUGAGAAACAGAGAGUGCAGCUGUUCAUCCUGGAAAGGUGUUAGCAGAGAUGUCAGAGGACGAUAAUUGAACGUGCAAUGUUUUCCUCCCCACCUCUUCCACAAGGCAGUCCAAGAUCUGCAUAAAAUUUCUGUGAGCAUCACCUUCUGUAUUGCAAAUAGAUCACAAUGAUGGGAUCUUUCCUACCUGUGGGAAACCUCUGCUUCUUUCUGCACCUUCCCACUAAAGUGAGGAGGAGCGUGGUCCAAAGCACCUUGCAGAGCUGCUGGAGGUGUUCAAGCCUCACCAAAGGGAAAUAAAACCAAGAACCUGCCAGAACUGGGGUGUUAGCAGAAGUUAUCAACAGUGGGGUAUCACUCUGGUGUCUUGCUUGGACAACAUUUUUAUUACAGCUAUAGAAUCGAGGAAUAUCAACCUAUUUUCACCCAAUCUGACAACCAAAUCCCAAUUUCAGUUAUUUAUUUUUGUUUAUAACAUACAGUGAUUCCUCCCUGCCACCCCCACGCUGCCCCCAGAAUUGUUUCUCCUGUUUGACAAAUGAUGAUGAAGCCAUAGAGGGUGGUGAUGGGGUUUCUGGACUUCUUUGAGCUAAGUACUCUUCUUGAAGGACGGUCAUAGUGCUGUAUUCACACACCUAUUGCCAGCUGAAGAGUUCGGUCCUGUAUUUAAAAUUGAUCUGCUUCAAUUAUGCUAUUGCAUGGGACAUGCAUGUUAGUAGUAUGAUUAGUACUAGUUUUAAAACAAGGAUUGGCUGUCCAGGAAACCAGCCUGCAUACUUUGACUGAGUCACUGCUGUAGGGUUUAUUUAUUUGAGCAGCCAUGUUAUGAAAACAAUGUACAGCAUUGUCAUGAUACUUGAAAUAACUGAUAAAUUGAAUUGUUGGUUUAAGGAUCUUGUCCUACUCAUUGACUGCCUCAAAUGGCAAAUGGAAAGACAAGUAAUUAGCUGUACCCUGCCUGGCUGAUCCACACUCAUGGCAGCUUUCAGAGCUAAGGGAACUGAGGAGUUUAUGCAGUCAAAUGCUCCACAUAAAUUGCUUUGUAUCAUGGGCCAGAUUUAGGAUCUACAAGUGCCUAAAGAGUUGCAUUCACUUUCACAUGAGUAAAAGUUUGAUCCUUAUCCAACUUGAGAGAGAAGUAAAAUAAAAUUACACUGCUACGAAA
Passer domesticus (house sparrow) is the source of this 5424-nucleotide long non-coding RNA. RefSeq lists it as uncharacterized. The record is from RefSeq and is a predicted model, not a curated record. Lineage: Eukaryota; Metazoa; Chordata; Aves; Passeriformes; Passeridae. The transcript has 2 exons.